GCCCCCAUAGCUCAAUUGGUAGAGCAACGGACUCUUAAUCCGCAGGUUUCAGGUUCGAUUCCUGAUGGGGGUA
This 73-nucleotide transfer RNA is filed under the name Candidatus Portnoybacteria bacterium CG10_big_fil_rev_8_21_14_0_10_38_18. Its description in RNAcentral is "tRNA-Lys". It matches the Rfam family "tRNA". Rfam says of the family: Transfer RNA (tRNA) molecules are approximately 80 nucleotides in length. Their secondary structure includes four short double-helical elements and three loops (D, anti-codon, and T loops). Lineage: Bacteria; Candidatus Portnoyibacteriota. The record is from RNAcentral.